UCCGUAGGUGAACCUGCGGAAGGAUUAUUACCUAGCCUUGGGCCGCUCGCAGGAGCUAGUCGCUUGCGACGACGCUGCUAAGGGUGCUUAGCCCUUGACUAUUACCUUGACUACGUGCACCUUUUGUUGUUUCCUUGGUAGGUUAUCUACCGCUAGGAACCUUUUAAACCUUUUUGCAAUAGUAUCUAAAACUUCUAAAAACAAACUAAAAUUAUUUACAACUUUUAACAAUGGAUCUCUUAGUUUUGGCAUUGAUGAAGAACGUAGCGAAAUGCGAUAAGUAGUGUGAAUUGUAGAAUUUAGUGAAUUAUCGAAUCUUUGAACGCACAUUGCGCCCUAUGGUAUUUUGUGGGGUAUGCCUGUUUGAGCGUUAUUUACCCCCUUAAGCUUUGCUUGGUGUUGGGCGUUUGUUUCGCUUCGUGCGCGGACUUGCCCUAAAGGUAUUGGCAGUGGUCGUGCUAGCUUCUUGCGCAGUAUAUUGCGCUUCUUGAGGCACUGGCGGGCCUGCGUCUAUUAAGCUUACCCCCCUAGUUUGACCUUGGAUUAGGUAGGGAUACCCGCUGAACUUAAGCAUAUCAAUAAGCGGAGGGAAGUCGGACUGG
RNAcentral lists this ribosomal RNA (602 nucleotides) under uncultured fungus. Its description in RNAcentral is "eukaryotic LSU rRNA". The stretch from base 220 to 373 matches the Rfam family "5.8S ribosomal RNA". Lineage: Eukaryota; Fungi. The record is from RNAcentral.